CCUACGGGAGGCUGCAGUGGGGGAUAUUGCACAAUGGGGGGAACCCUGAUGCAGCGACGCCGCGUGGGUGAAGGAGUGCUUCGGCAUGUAAAGCCCUAUCGGCAGGGAAGAAGCAAGACGGUACCUGACUAAGAAGCCCCGGCUAACUACGUGCCAGCAGCCGCGGUAAUACGUAGGGGGCGAGCGUUAUCCGGAUUCACUGGGUGUAAAGGGAGCGUAGACGGCCAUGCAAGCCAGGGGUGAAAGCCCGGGGCCCAACCCCGGGACUGCCCUUGGAACUGCAUGGCUGGAGUGUGUGAGAGGAUAGUGGAAUUCCAGGUGUAGGAGUGAAAUCCGUAGAUAUCUGGAGGAACAUCAGUGGCGAAGGCGACUAUCUGGCACAUAACUGACGCUGAGGAGCGAAAGCGUGGGUAGCAAACAGGAUUAGAUACCCUAGUAGUC
This 441-nucleotide ribosomal RNA is filed under the name uncultured bacterium. Its description in RNAcentral is "partial 16S ribosomal RNA". It matches the Rfam family "Bacterial small subunit ribosomal RNA", at positions 338 to 795 of the family's 1533-position model. The record is from RNAcentral.